RNAcentral lists this ribosomal RNA (264 nucleotides) under Bradyrhizobium sp. RNAcentral describes it as "partial 16S ribosomal RNA". It matches the Rfam family "Bacterial small subunit ribosomal RNA", at positions 46 to 334 of the family's 1533-position model. Lineage: Bacteria; Pseudomonadati; Pseudomonadota; Alphaproteobacteria; Hyphomicrobiales; Nitrobacteraceae. The record is from RNAcentral.
AGGCUUAACACAUGCAAGUCGAGCGGGCGUAGCAAUACGUCAGCGGCAGACGGGUGAGUAACGCGUGGGAACGUACCUUUUGGUUCGGAACAACACAGGGAAACUUGUGCUAAUACCGGAUAAGCCCUUACGGGGAAAGAUUUAUCGCCGAAAGAUCGGCCCGCGUCUGAUUAGCUAGUUGGUGGGGUAAUGGCCCACCAAGGCGACGAUCAGUAGCUGGUCUGAGAGGAUGAUCAGCCACAUUGGGACUGAGACACGGCCCAA